This 68-nucleotide transfer RNA is filed under the name Bos taurus (domestic cattle). It matches the Rfam family "tRNA". Rfam says of the family: Transfer RNA (tRNA) molecules are approximately 80 nucleotides in length. Their secondary structure includes four short double-helical elements and three loops (D, anti-codon, and T loops). The record is from Rfam by way of RNAcentral. Lineage: Eukaryota; Metazoa; Chordata; Mammalia; Artiodactyla; Bovidae.
UCCCAGGUGGCUCAGUGGUAGAGAAUCUGCCUGCCAAGCAGAUGUCAGUUCAAGCCCUGACUGGGGAU